Molecule: ribosomal RNA, 347 nt
Filed under: Macrothele calpeiana
Lineage: Eukaryota; Metazoa; Arthropoda; Arachnida; Araneae; Macrothelidae
Description: partial 16S ribosomal RNA
Rfam family: Bacterial large subunit ribosomal RNA
Source: RNAcentral
UAAAUGAUAUUUAUAUUUAGUAAGACCUGCUCAAUGUAUAAUAAAUAGCCGCGGCUAUCCGUGCUAAGGUAGCAUAAUCAUUUGCCUCUUAAUUAGGGGCUAGAAUGAAAGGUCUAACAUAUUAUUAUCUUUAUUAAAAUAUUUUCUUAAAAUUUUCCAGUAAGUAAAAAGACUUACAUUAUUUAGGGGGACGACAAGACCCUAUCGAACUUUACUUUAAGUUAAGCUGGGGUGGCCAAAAAACAAUUUCUUCUUCCCCCUCCUCCAAAAAAAACCUUAAUUUGAUCAACCAAGUUACCGUAGGGAUAACAGCAUGAUCCUUUUUUAUAGGUCCAUAUUAUAAAAAA